This 171-nucleotide unclassified non-coding RNA is filed under the name soil metagenome. RNAcentral describes it as "partial internal transcribed spacer 1". The record is from RNAcentral.
GAAAAUAGCCAGCCUGGCUGGCAUAUAAUUCUAUCCCACCUUGUGUGCAAGCAAUGGAAAAGAAAGAGAGAAUAUUGGAUGCUUUUUUUGUAUCCAAUCUCUCUAAAGUUUUUUACAAACUCCAUCAAAUUUUGAAAUGAAAACUAUUUUUUUUUAACAAAAAAUAUUAUA